Molecule: ribosomal RNA, 292 nt
Filed under: uncultured prokaryote
Description: partial 16S ribosomal RNA
Rfam family: Bacterial small subunit ribosomal RNA
Source: RNAcentral
GUGUCAGCCGCCGCGGUAAUACGGAGGGUGCAAGCGUUAUCCGGAUUUAUUGGGUUUAAAGGGUCCGUAGGCGGGCCCGUAAGUCAGUGGUGAAAUCUCGCAGCUUAACUGUGAAACUGCCAUUGAUACUGCGGGUCUUGAGUAAAUUUGAAGUGGCUGGAAUAAGUAGUGUAGCGGUGAAAUGCAUAGAUAUUACUUAGAACACCAAUUGCGAAGGCAGGUCACUAAGAUUUAACUGACGCUGAUGGACGAAAGCGUGGGGAGCGAACAGGAUUAGAAACCCCCGUAGUCC